RNAcentral lists this ribosomal RNA (460 nucleotides) under uncultured bacterium. RNAcentral's name for it is "partial 16S ribosomal RNA". It matches the Rfam family "Bacterial small subunit ribosomal RNA", at positions 338 to 795 of the family's 1533-position model. The record is from RNAcentral.
CCUACGGGAGGCAGCAGUGAGGAAUAUUGGUCAAUGGGCGAGAGCCUGAACCAGCCAAGUCGCGUGAGGGAAGACGGUCCUAUGGAUUGUAAACCUCUUUUGUCGGGGAGCAAAAAGGCCUCGUGAGGCCACAAGUGAGAGUACCCGAAGAAAAAGCAUCGGCUAAAUCCGUGCCAGCAGCCGCGGUAAUACGGAGGAUGCGAGCGUUAUCCGGAUGUAUUGGGUUAAAAGGGUGCGUAGGCGGACUGGAAAGUCAGCGGGAAAAUCGAGAGGCUCAACCUCUUUCCGCAGUUGAAACUGGCUGUCUUGAGUGGGCGAGAAGUAUGCGGAAUGCGUGGUGUAGCGGUGAAAUGCAUAGAUAUCACGCAGAACUCCGAUUGCGAAGGCAGCAUACCGGCGCCCGACUGACGCUGAGGCACGAAAGCGUGGGUAUCGAACAGGAUUAGAUACCCGAGUAGUC